Molecule: ribosomal RNA, 1214 nt
Filed under: metagenome
Description: bacterial LSU rRNA
Rfam family: Bacterial large subunit ribosomal RNA
Source: RNAcentral
UAGCAUACCAAGGCGAGUGGGAUAACUAUGGUUAAGGAACUCGGCAAAUUGCCUCCGUAACUUCGGGAGAAGGAGGACCCCAGUAGCGUGAUGAGACUUGCUCUCUGAGCGUGAAGGGGUGGCACAAAAUUGAGGGAAGCGACUGUUUACCAAAAACACAGCAGCGUGCUAAGCCGUAAGGCGCUGUAUACGCUGUGACUCCUGCCCGGUGCUGGAAGGUUACGGGGAUGGGUUAGUCCUUCGGGACGAAGCUCUGAACCUAAGCCCCAGUAAACGGCGGCCGUAACUAUAACGGUCCUAAGGUAGCGAAAUUCCUUGUCGGGUAAGUUCCGACCUGCACGAAUGGAGUAACGACUUCCCUACUGUCUCAACCAUAGACCCAGCGAAAUUGAAGUACGAGUAAAGAUGCUCGUUAGCUGCAGAAGGACGGAAAGACCCCGUGGACCUUUACUAUAACUUGAUGUUGUGUUUUGUCAUAUGUUGUGUAGGAUAGGUGGGAGACUUGGAAGCAUGGACGCUAGUCUGUGUGGAGUCAUCGUUGAAAUACCACCCUGCAUAUGGUGAGGCUCUAACCUAGACCCGUUAUCCGGGUUGGGGACAGCGUCAGGCGGGUAGUUUAACUGGGGCGGUUGCCUCCUAAAGAGUAACGGAGGCGCCCAAAGGUUCCCUCAGCCUGGUUAGCAAUCAGGCGUUGAGUGCAAUGGCAAAAGGGAGCUUGACUGCGAGACCUACAAGUCGAGCAGGAGCGAAAGCUGGGCAUAGUGAUCCGGCGGUUGCGUGUGGAAGCGCCGUCGCUCAACGGAUAAAAGGUACCCCGGGGAUAACAGGCUAAUCUUGCCCAAGCGUCCAUAGCGACGGCAAGGUUUGGCACCUCGAUGUCGGCUCAUCGCAUCCUGGGGCUGAAGCAGGUCCCAAGGGUUGGGCUGUUCGCCCAUUAAAGCGGUACGCGAGCUGGGUUCAGAACGUCGUGAGACAGUUCGGUCCCUAUCCUCUGCAGCCGGAGGUGAAUUGAGGAAAGCUGUCCCUAGUACGAGAGGACCGGGACGGACGCAGCUCUCGUGUGCCAGUUGUCCUGCCAAGGGCAUGGCUGGUUAGCGACCUGCGGAAAGGAUAACCGCUGAAAGCAUCUAAGCGGGAAGCCUCUUCCAAGAUGAAUUCACCCACAGGGUUAACCUGGUAAGGCCCGUGGUAGACCACCACGUUGAUAGGCCGGA